GAUGAACGCUGGCGGCGUGCCUAAUACAUGCAAGUCGAGCGAACGGACGAGAAGCUUGCUUUUCUGAUGUUAGCGGCGGACGGGUGAGUAACACGUGGAUAACCUACCUAUAAGACUGGGAUAACUUCGGGAAACCGGAGCUAAUACCGGAUAAUAUUUUGAACCGCAUGGUUCAAAAGUGAAAGACGGUCUUGCUGUCACUUAUAGAUGGAUCCGCGCUGCAUUAGCUAGUUGGUAAGGUAACGGCUUACCAAGGCAACGAUGCAUAGCCGACCUGAGAGGGUGAUCGGCCACACUGGAACUGAGACACGGUCCAGACUCCUACGGGAGGCAGCAGUAGGGAAUCUUCCGCAAUGGGCGAAAGCCUGACGGAGCAACGCCGCGUGAGUGAUGAAGGUCUUCGGAUCGUAAAACUCUGUUAUUAGGAAAGAACAUAUGUGUAAGUAACUGUGCACAUCUUGACGGUACCUAAUCAGAAAGCCACGGCUAACUACGUGCCAGCAGCCGCGGUAAUACGUAGGUGGCAAGCGUUAUCCGGAAUUAUUGGGCGUAAAGCGCGCGUAGGCGGUUUUUUAAGUCUGAUGUGAAAGCCCACGGCUCAACCGUGGAGGGUCAUUGGAAACUGGAAAACUUGAGUGCAGAAGAGGAAAGUGGAAUUCCAUGUGUAGCGGUGAAAUGCGCAGAGAUGUGGAGGAACACCAGUGGCGAAGGCGACUUUCUGGUCUGUAACUGACGCUGAUGUGCGAAAGCGUGGGGAUCAAACAGGAUUAGAUACCCUGGUAGUCCACGCCGUAAACGAUGAGUGCUAAGUGUUAGGGGGUUUCCGCCCCUUAGUGCUGCAGCUAACGCAUUAAGCACUCCGCCUGGGGAGUACGACCGCAAGGUUGAAACUCAAAGGAAUUGACGGGGGCCCGCACAAGCGGUGGAGCAUGUGGUUUAAUUCGAAGCAACGCGAAGAACCUUACCAAAUCUUGACAUCCUUUGACAACUCUAGAGAUAGAGCCUUCCCCUUCGGGGGACAAAGUGACAGGUGGUGCAUGGUUGUCGUCAGCUCGUGUCGUGAGAUGUUGGGUUAAGUCCCGCAACGAGCGCAACCCUUAAGCUUAGUUGCCAUCAUUAAGUUGGGCACUCUAAGUUGACUGCCGGUGACAAACCGGAGGAAGGUGGGGAUGACGUCAAAUCAUCAUGCCCCUUAUGAUUUGGGCUACACACGUGCUACAAUGGACAAUACAAAGGGCAGCGAAACCGCGAGGUCAAGCAAAUCCCAUAAAGUUGUUCUCAGUUCGGAUUGUAGUCUGCAACUCGACUACAUGAAGCUGGAAUCGCCAGUAAUCGUAGAUCAGCAUGCUACGGUGAAUACGUUCCCGGGUCU
RNAcentral lists this ribosomal RNA (1372 nucleotides) under uncultured bacterium. Its description in RNAcentral is "bacterial SSU rRNA". It matches the Rfam family "Bacterial small subunit ribosomal RNA", at positions 28 to 1381 of the family's 1533-position model. The record is from RNAcentral.